This 932-nucleotide ribosomal RNA is filed under the name Listeria monocytogenes. RNAcentral's name for it is "partial 23S ribosomal RNA". It matches the Rfam family "Bacterial large subunit ribosomal RNA", at positions 1990 to 2925 of the family's 2925-position model. Lineage: Bacteria; Bacillati; Bacillota; Bacilli; Caryophanales; Listeriaceae. The record is from RNAcentral.
GCACGAAUGGCAUAAUGAUGGCGGCGCUGUCUCCAGCAGAGACUCAGUGAAAUCGAAAUCGCAGUGAAGAUGCUGUGUACCCGCGGCUAGACGGAAAGACCCCGUGAACCUUUACUACAGCUUUACAUUGAACUUUGACCUUACCUGUGUAGGAUAGGUGGGAGGCUUUGAAGCAGGCACGCCAGUGUCUGUGGAGCCAUCCUUGAAAUACCACCCUGGUAAUGUUGGGGUUCUAACUCAAGCUUAACAGAGCUGAGGACAAUGUAUGGUGGGUAGUUUGACUGGGGCGGUCUCCUCCUAAAGAGUAACGGAGGAGUACGAAGGUGUGCUCAGAACGGUCGGAAAUCGUUCGAAGAGUAUAAAGGCAAAAGCGCGCUUAACUGCGAGACCCACAAGUCGAGCAGAUACGAAAGUAGGUCUUAGUGAUCCGGUGGUUCUGUAUGGAAGGGCCAUCGCUCAACGGAUAAAAGGUACUCUGGGGAUAACAGGCUGAUACCGCCCAAGAGUUCAUAUCGACGGCGGUGUUUGGCACCUCGAUGUCGGCUCAUCUCAUCCUGGGGCUGAAGCAGGUCCCAAGGGUAUGGCUGUUCGCCAUUUAAAGAGGUACGCGAGCUGGGUUUAGAACGUCGUGAGACAGUUCGGUCCCUAUCUACCGUGGGCGUUGGAAAUUUGAGAGGAUCUGCUCCUAGUACGAGAGGACCAGAGUGGACGAACCUCUGGUGUUUCGGUUGUGACGCCAGUCGCAUUGCCGAGUAGCUAUGUUCGGAUGGGAUAACCGCUGAAAGCAUCUAAGCGGGAAGCCCACCUUAAGAUUAGAUUUCCCUAAAGAGCCGUUGUAGACUACGACGUUGAUAGGUUGGGUGUGGAAGCAUAGUGAUAUGUGUAGCUAACCAAUACUAAUUGCUCGUUUGGCUUGACUAUACAACGCCUAA